ACACAUGCAGUCGAGGGGUAGAGGAAGCUUGCUUCCUUGAGACCGGCGCACGGGUGCGUAACGCGUAUGCAAUCUACCUUAUACAGAGGGAUAGCCCAGAGAAAUUUGGAUUAAUACCUCAUAGUAUUACUGAGUGGCAUCACUUGGUAAUUAAAGUUUCAACGGUAUAAGAUGAGCAUGCGUCCCAUUAGUUAGUUGGUAAGGUAACGGCUUACCAAGACAAUGAUGGGUAGGGGUCCUGAGAGGGAGAUCCCCCACACUGGUACUGAGACACGGACCAGACUCCUACGGGAGGCAGCAGUGAGGAAUAUUGGGCAAUGGAGGCAACUCUGACCCAGCCAUGCCGCGUGCAGGAAGACGGUCCUAUGGAUUGUAAACUGCUUUUAUACAGGAAGAAACCUCCCUACGUGUAGGGACUUGACGGUACUGUAGGAAUAAGGAUCGGCUAACUCCGUGCCAGCAGCCGCGGUAAUACGGAGGAUCCAAGCGUUAUCCGGAAUCAUUGGGUUUAAAGGGUCCGUAGGCGGCCUUAUAAGUCAGUGGUGAAAUCUCCUAGCUCAACUAGGAAACUGCCAUUGAUACUGUAGGGCUUGAAUUUUGGUGAAGUAACUAGAAUAUGUAGUGUAGCGGUGAAAUGCUUAGAUAUUACAUGGAAUACCAAUUGCGAAUGCAGGUUACUAACCAACGAUUGACGCUGAUGGACGAAAGCGUGGGGAGCGAACAGGA
Molecule: ribosomal RNA, 726 nt
Filed under: uncultured bacterium
Lineage: Bacteria
Description: bacterial SSU rRNA
Rfam family: Bacterial small subunit ribosomal RNA
Source: RNAcentral